RNAcentral lists this ribosomal RNA (253 nucleotides) under uncultured bacterium. RNAcentral's name for it is "partial 16S ribosomal RNA". It matches the Rfam family "Bacterial small subunit ribosomal RNA", at positions 524 to 776 of the family's 1533-position model. The record is from RNAcentral.
GACGUAGGGAGCAAGCGUUGUCCGGAAUUACUGGGCGUAAAGGGCUCGUAGGCGGCCAACUAAGUCAGACGUGAAAUCCCUCAGCUUAACUGGGGAACUGCGUCUGAUACUGGAUGGCUUGGAUUCGGGAGAGGAAUGCGGAAUUCCAGGUGUAGCGGUGAAAUGCGUAGAUAUCUGGAGGAACACCGGUGGCGAAGGCGGCAUUCUGGACCGAUAUUGACGCUGAGGAGCGAAAGCCAGGGGAGCAAACGGG